AGAGCGGUCGAAUGCGCUCGCUUGGAAAGCGGGUAUACCGAAAGGUAUCGCAGGUUCGAAUCCUGUCUCCUCCGCCA
RNAcentral lists this transfer RNA (77 nucleotides) under Candidatus Zambryskibacteria bacterium CG11_big_fil_rev_8_21_14_0_20_40_24. Its description in RNAcentral is "tRNA-Ser". It matches the Rfam family "tRNA", at positions 12 to 71 of the family's 71-position model. From Rfam's summary of the family: Transfer RNA (tRNA) molecules are approximately 80 nucleotides in length. Their secondary structure includes four short double-helical elements and three loops (D, anti-codon, and T loops). Further hydrogen bonds mediate the characteristic L-shaped molecular structure. tRNAs have two regions of fundamental functional importance: the anti-codon, which is responsible for specific mRNA codon recognition, and the 3' end, to which the tRNAs corresponding amino acid is attached (by aminoacyl-tRNA synthetases). tRNAs cope with the degeneracy of the genetic code in two manners: having more than one tRNA (with a specific anti-codon) for a particular amino acid; and 'wobble' base-pairing, i.e. permitting non-standard base-pairing at the 3rd anti-codon position. Lineage: Bacteria; Candidatus Zambryskiibacteriota. The record is from RNAcentral.